UGUAGAACAUUUUUUUUUGUAAACUACGUUAUGCCAGUUGAGCUAGACAUCCCCUGAGACCAUAGUCCCAGCCCUUAGCCCAAUAAUUCGGUUCCUCAGGGAAUUUGGAUGUGUCUAUGAAGCUUCCGUGACCUUGCCUUGGGUCAUGUUGUGAUGGCUUUCCCAAUAUUGCGUACUGUCUUACCAUUCACCAAAGUUAGCACUUAUCUAUUGUCUAGUGAGUAUUUUUCCCUCCCCUCCCUAGUAACCAUCAAAGAUUGUUUCUUUCUGUGUGUAAACCUUUUCAUGAGUUUUUAUAAUAGUGGUCUCAUACAUUUGUCAUUUUGUGAUUGACUUAUUUCACUCAGCAUAAUGUGCUCCAGAUUGAUCCAUGUUGUGAGAAGUUUUGCAGAUUUAUCAUUGUUCUUUAUUAUUGUAUAGUAUUCCAUUGUACAUUCGUACCAUAGUGUGUUUAUCCACUCAUCUGUUGAUAGGUACUUAGGUUUUUCCAUCUUUUUGCUAUUGUGAGUUAUGCUACAGUGAACAUGAGUGUGCAUAUAUAUGUCUGUGUGUGAAAGGGCUCUUAUUUCUGUAGGAUAUGUUCCUAGGAGUAGAAUUGCUGGAUCGUAUGGUAUUUCUGUGUCUAGCUUUUUAAGGAAUGGUCAUAUCAUCUUCCAAAAUGAUUGUAUCAUUUUACAUUCCUACAAGCAGUGCAUAAGAGUUCCAAGUUCCCCACAGCUUCUCCAACAUUUGUUAUUUUCUGUUUCUUUUUGUAUGUGUGCCAGUAAUGUUCGGGUGAGAUGGUAUUUUAUUGUAGUUUUGAUUUGCAUUUCUCUAAUGGUUAGUGAUCUCAAGCAUUUCCUCAUGUAUCUGUUAGCCACCUUAAUGUCUUCUUUGGUAAAUUGUACAUAUCUUGGUAAAUUCGGUAAAUUGUCAGUACAUAUCUUUUGCCUAUCUUUUAAUUGGAUUGUCUUUUUGUUGUAGAGAUGUUGGAUAUUCCUAUAGAUUUUAGAGAUUAGACCUUUGCCUAAUGUGUCAUAGACAAAAAUUUUUUCCCAGUCUGUUGGUUCUCUUUUUACUCUUUUGGUGAAGUCUUUUGAUGAGCAUAAGUAUUUAAUUUUUAGAAGAUCCUCGUUAUCUAGCUUAUCUUCUGGUGUUUGUAUGCUAUUUAUGCUGUGUAUUAGGGUGUGUAGCGUUGACCCUAUUUUGUCUUCUAUGAUCUUUAUAGUUUUUGGUUUUAUAUUUAGGUCUUUGAUCCAUUUUGAAUUAGUUUUUGUGUAUGGUGUAAGGUAUGGGUCUUGUUUCUUUUUUUUUUUUUUAAUAGGUGGUGGACCUCCAGUUUUGCCAGCACCAUUUGUUAAAAAAGACUUUUCCCCACUUAAUGGACUUUGGGCCUUUGCCGAAGAUAAGGUGACUGUAGGUGGAUGGAUUUAUAUCUGGGUUCUUGAUUCUGCUCCAUUGGACUAUGUGUCUGUCAUUGUACCAGUAUGAGGCUGUUUUGACUACUGUAGCUGUGUAGUAGGUUCUGAGGUCAGGUAGUGUGAGUUCUCCUACUUUAUUGUUUUUCUUCAGUAGUGCUUUACUUACCCAGGGCCUCAUUCCUUUCCAUGUAAAGUUAAUGAUUAGUUUUUCCAUCUUGUUAAAGAAUGCUAUUGGUAUUUGGAUCGAGAUUGCAUUGUAUUUGAAGAUUGCUUUGGGUUCAGUUGACAUUUUAACAAUGUUGAGUCUGCCUAUCCAUGAGCAUGGCAUACCAUUUAUGUAGGUAUUGUUUGGUUUCUUGCAAUAGUGUUUUGUAGUUUUCUUUGUAUAGGUCUUUUAUGUUUUUGGUUAGAUUUAUUCAUAAGUAUUUUAUUUUGGGGGGCCCUGAUGGCACAGUGGUUAAGUGUUUGGCUGCUAACCAAAGGAUUGGCAGUUUGAAUCUACCAGCCACUCCUUGGAAACCCUGUGGGGCAGUUCUGUUCUGUCCUGUAGGGUUGCUAUGAGUCGGAGUGUCUCGGCAGCAACAGGUACAGCUAUUUUACUUUUUUAGGGGCUAUUAUUUAUUUAUUUAUUUUUAAAUUAUAAAUGGUGUUGUUUUCCUGAUUUCCUUUUCAUAGUUCUCUUUAUUGGUGUAUAGCAGUCCAACUGAUUUUUACAUGUUUGUCUUGUAUCCUGUUACUCUGCUGAAUCUUUCUAUUAGUUCUAGUAGUUUUCUUGUGGAGUCCUUUGGGUUCUCUAUGUAUAGUAUAUCAUCCCCAAAUAGGGAUAGUUUUACUUCUUCCUGACCAAUUUGGAUGCCUGUUAUUUCUUUUUCUUGCCUUAUUGCUCUAGGUAGGACUUCCAGCACAAUGUUAAAUAGGAGUGGUGGCAAAGGGCAUCCUUUUCUUGUUCCUGUUGUCAGAGGCUAUGUUUUCAGCCUCUCUCCGUUAAGAAUAAAAACCCUGGUGGUGUAAGUAGUUAAGUGCUACGGCUGCUAACCAAAAGGCCGGCAGUUCAAAUUGACUAGGCUUUCCUUGGAAACUGUAUGGGGCAGUUCUACUCUGUCCUGUAGUGUCAUUAUGAGUCGGAAUUAACUCGACGGCAGUGGGUUUGGUUUUUGGUUUGGUCUGUUAAGAAUGAUGUUGGCUGUUGGUUUUGCAUAGAUGUCCUUUAUUAUGUUGAGGAAUUUCCUCUGUACCUAUUUUAUUGAGAAUUUUUAUCAGAAAUGGGUGUUGGAUUUUAUCAAAUGCCUUUUCUGCAUCGAUGGAGAUGAUUGUGUGAGCCUUUGCUUGGUCAUGGCGUGUUAUUUUUUUGAUAUGAUGCUGAGUUCUGUUGGCUAGAUAAUUUUUUCAUCUAUUUCAUGAGAGAUACUGGUCUGUAGUUUUCUUUCUUUGUGGUGUCUUUGCCUGGUUUUGGUAUCAGGGUUAUGCUGGCUUCAUAGAAUGAAUUUGGAAGUACCUCUUCCUUUUCUGUGUUCUGAACUAGUUUGAGUACGUACUGCUGCAAGCUCUUCUCUGAAUGUUUGGUAGAAUUUUCCAACGAAGGCAUCUAGGCCAGGGCUUUUUUUUUUGGCAGUUUUUUAAAUUCCCUUUGCAAUUUCUUCUCUUUUUAUGGGUCUUCUCAGAUUUUCUCCUUCAGUUUGUGUUAGUUUAGGUAGGUACGGUGUUUCUAGAAAUUUGUCCAUUUUCCCUAGGUUUUCAAAUUUAUUGGAGUAUAGUUUUUCAUAGUACUCUGUUAUGAUCCUUUGUAUUUCAGUUGAGUCUGUUGUAAUGUCCCCCAUUUCAUUUCUUAUUUGGGUUAUUUGCAUCCUCUCCUGUUUUCUUUUGUCAAGAUUGGCCAGUGGUUUGUCAAUUUUUUUUUUUUUUUUUGGUUUGUCAAUUUUGUUGAUCCUUUCCAAGAACCAACUUUUGAUUUUGUUGAUUCUUUCUGUUGUUUUUCUAUUCUCUAUUUCAUUUAUUUCUGCUCUGAUCUUUGUUUCCUUUCUUCAGGUGGCUGUGUGCUUCUUUUGCUGUUCUCUUUUGUUUGAAUUGUGUAGCUAAUGUUUUGAUUUUGUCCCUUUCUUUUUUGAUGUGUGCAUCUAUUGCUAUAAAUUGACCUCUGAGCAGCACUGCCUUUGUUGUGUGCCAGAGGUUUUCAUAUGAUGUAUUUUCAUUCUUGUUUGAUUCUAGGAAUUUUUGUUUUCCGUCUUUGAUUUCUUCUGUUACCCACUGGUUUUUAAGCACGUUGUUAUUCACCUUCCAUGUACUUGAUUCUUUUCCCUUCCUCUUCCUGUUACUAAUUUCUACUUUUGUGGUGUGAUCAGAGAAGAUGUUUUGUAUUAUCUCAGUGUAUUGGAUUUUGUUGAAGGUUGUUUUGUAGCCUGUUCUGGAGAAUGUUCCAUGUGUGUUGGAAAAGAAUGUGUACUUUGCUGCUGUUGGGUGGUGUUCUAUAUUUAUCUAUGAGGUCAGGUUGGUUGAUUGUGGCCUUUAGAUCUUCUGUAUCUUUGUUGAGUUUCUUUCUAGAUGGUCUGUCCUUUACUGAGAGUGGUGUUGAAGUCUUGUACUGUUAUUGUGGAACUGUCGAUUUCUCUUUUCAGUGCCGUUAAGAGUUUUAUGUAUUUUGGAGCCCUGUCAUUGGGUGCGUAGAUGUUUAUUAUGUUCUUGUCUUCAUGGUAGAUUGUCCCUUUAAUCAUUAUAUAAUGUCCUUGUCAUUUAUAGUGGGUUUUGUUUUAAAAUCUGUUUUAUCUGAGAGUGGUAUUGCCACUGCUGCUCUUUUUUGGUGGCUGUUUGCUUGAUAUAUUUUUUUCUAUCCUUUGAUUGUGAAUGUAUUUAUAUCUUUGUUUCUAAGGUGUGCUCUUGUAGACAGAAUAUUGAUGGGUCCUGUUUUUUUUUAAUCCAUUCUGUCACCCUCUGUCUCUUUAUGGGUGCGUUUAAUCCAUUUGCAUUCAGUGUGAUUAUUAAUAGGUGUGAGCUUAUUGCUGUCAUUUUGUAGUACUUUUUUUUGUGGUAUUGACAUUUUCUUUGUUCCUCUUCUGUGCUGAAUUCCUUUUGUUUGUGGGUUUUUUUGUUUUGUUUUUUUGUAGACUCUGUUUACUGACAGUUUAUGUUUUUCUUCUUUAUUUUGAUGAGUAGGUUUAUUUUCUUUGUGGUUUACCUUGAAUUUACCCGUAUUUUCCCAAGUUUAAACAGUCUUUUAUUACUUGAUAACUCCUUGACUUCCUCUCCAUUUGAAUAUUCUAUACGUACACUGUUUAUUCCCUCUUUGAUUAUUCUGACAUUGUUGUCAUUUACAGAUUGACCUCUCUGGUUCCCUGUUGUAAAUUUUUUAGUUUUGUUUUAUCCUUGAGAGUUCAUUAGCUAGGUUGGUAUCUGGCUGAUACUGUUUAUGUCCUAGAUUCAGGUUGUUGUCUGAUGUUGUUGGGUCUCUAACUGAAGGACUCCCUUUAAUUUUUGUAAGUUUGGUUUGGUUUUUAUGUAUUCCCUUGAUUUCUGUUUGUUUGCAAAUAUCCUAGUUUCACCAUCGUAUUUGAGCAAGAGUUUCACCAUCGUAUUUGAGCAAGAGUUUUGCAGGAUAUAUUAUUUUUGGUUGGCAGUUUUUUCUUUCAAGAUUUUCUAUAUGUCAUUCCAUUGCCUUCUUGCCUGCAUGGUUUCUGCCGAGUUAGCAGAGUUUAGUCUUAUUGUUUGCCCUUUGUAUGUAACUUUUUGUUUUUCACGUGCUCCUCUCAGGAUUCUUUCUUUGUCUUUGGUUUCAGUGAGUGUGAUUAUGAUACGUCUUUUUGUUUUUCUUUUGGGGUCUAUCCUAUAUGAGGUUCAUUGAGAGCUUCUUGAAAGGUUGACUUUUCUUUCGUCUUUCAUGGUAUUAGGGAAGUUUUCUGUCAGCAAAUCUUCCAUGAUCUUCUCUUUGGUUUCCAUUUUCUUCCCCUGUUCUAGAACUCCUAUCGCACGCAACUUCCCACAACUUUUUGCUUUUGAUUGUAUUCCACAUCAUUCUCAGGGUUUCUUCAUUUUUCUUCAUUCUUUUCUCUCAUAUUUCCUCAAACACAGUGGUAUCUUAAAGAUUUGUUUUUAAUUUUGCUGAUCUUGUCUUUUAUUGUUUCGGAUUUGCUCCUGAAACAUUCUGUUGCACUGUCCAUUUCUGAAAUAUUGUUAUCUUUUGGAUUUCUAAUUGCUGUUUUUGUAUAAUUUCUAGUUGUUUGUUUAUUUUGACAUUUUGUCCCUGUGUUAUUUUCCUGAAUUCUUGCAUUGCCUUGUCUGUGUUUUCCCUGAUUUUGUCUAUUUUGUCCUUAUUUUUGUCUGUAUUUUCCUUCAUCUGUUGGAGAACCCUAAAUAUUAGAGUUUUACAUUCUCUGUCAGAAGGUCAUCUAGUGUUUUAUUUUGAUCGCUUUCUGGAGGUAUCCUCUCCUGUUUUUUUGUUUUUUUUUUUUAAUGUUUUGAUAUAGUCUGUUGUUUCUGGGACAUUUAGGAAUUAUUUUCCUCGUUUAUUGAUUGUUGAGUUGAUUGUUUCAUCCUGCUUUUUUGUUAUAUAUUUGGUUAUGUCUGGGCAGGUGGGCUGAGUGUGUUUUGUUGCUUGCUUGCCUGUGGGCACGAUACUUCUCACCACCUUGUCCAGUCCUUGGUGGCUGAGGUCCAAGAUGAAGAAUCUGGGUGGCAGCGAUCUGGUCUCUCUCCAGUUGAGCAGCCGUGGCCCGUUGGAAAGUGGCAGAGGCCUCAUACAGUGAAGAAGAGUGGGGGGUGAGAAAGCAUGUGUCCCUGGUUACCAAGUACUCUGUCUCCUGUUGGGUGCUCUGAGAGGUUGCGUCCCAUACUCCCUGUCUGUGAUCCUUGGUGGCUGAGGUCCAAGAUGGCAAAUCCGUGCCAUGUUAGCUGGUAGGAAACCUCCGCUCUGUAGCCCUCCUUGUUAUCUGUUCUCUGUCAGUUUCUUAUUCCAUUUGGUGCUUGAUUGAGUUCUUUAUUCCUUCAUUUGGUGUUGAUGUCUGUAUCUGUUUUACUUCGUUUUGCGGGUCUUUGCUAUAGAGGGAUGGCAUGGUGCUUCUGUCUAUAGUGCCAUGUUUGCUGCGUGUCUUCCUUACAGUAAAGUUCUGAUUAAUAAAUAUAGGAGUGAUGGAAACAGAAAUCACCAUUAGGCAAACAAUAUGGUAGUAAUUGUUGCAGGCAAGAACCAUCAGUGGAUUCUAAAAUUAGUGGGCUAAAGUACAAUAAUAAGCAGGAUAUUUAGAGAAUCUCAAAGUAUCUCCCUGUAAGAUGCUCAUUAAUUAUAACAAGAAAAAUAAUAGCUUUGCAGUGAAGAGACCUGGUAAACACCACUGUAACCAAGUGAUUAAAGUUAUCAUCGCUAGUAAUAAGGAAUGUACCUACUAGCAUGAGCUGAGGAGAACACAGGAUCACUUCUGUUGCCCAAAAUACAUAACCUAAAUCAAAUCAGGAGAAAACAUCAGACAAACUCGAAGUAAGGAACAUUCUAAAAAGUAAAUGGCUAGUGCUCUUCAAAAAUGUCAAAAUCAUGAAAGACAAAGAUUGAGGAACUGUCCCAGAUUGGAGGAGACUUAAGGAGACAUCAGAACUAAAUGUAAUGUGAGAUUCUGGACCAGAAAAAGGAAAAAUAUGGAGAAAGCACUGAAAUUUGAAUAAAGUAUAUAGAUUAGCUAGUAGGAUUGUAUCAGUGUUAUUUCCUGGUUUUGAUAAUUGUUAAUUGCACUAUGAUUGUGUAAGAUGUUAGCAUUAGAGGAAGCUAGGGGAGGGUAUAUGGGACUCUAAUAUUUUUAUAGCCUUUCUGUCAUUUUAAAUAUAUUUCAAAAUAAAAAGUAAAACCCUGUGCUGUAGGUCUUUGAAAUAUAUUAAUUUGACCAAUAGUAUCUUUUACUUCCAUUUUCUGUGAAAAAUUGGGCCUCAUUUGACUUAGAAAGGAGGGAUUAAUUGUAAUUUUGUGGAAUCAUACUUUUGAGAAAGUAUAUUCUUUCCUAGUGAAAAUGGCAGCCUGAGGAAGGAAAACAGGAUUUGUUAUGGCCUUUAAAGACAUCUGUUCCCCUAAUCUGAGAGAAGGUAGGGGAAAAUGGAACAGUGCCACUGACUAAGAAUCCUUCCCUGGGAGACACCAUGAGUUUCUAACAUGUCUUGUCCCAAUUCUGGUAGUUGUGAUUUAGAGAACAUUAUUCUGGAGCUGGGGCUGGACUACCUUUAAGUCCUUCCUUAGCAUCAGAAGGACUCCAUGAGCUAGCUAACAGGGCCUGCAGUUCUUUCUGGUUUUGGCAUAUUUACAGCAGAAGGUUUGGCCAUGGAUUUGUUGAGUGUGGAGGGGUAGGUGACUGAAGCUGCAUUUGUUAGUGUAACUGUUGUUUCUUAGACACUUAGAGAAGGUAGUACAUUUGAUUCUGGAUUCUCAUUUUGCAGCUGUAAAACAUUUAUUCCUUCAAAUCCAGUAUUGUUUGCUUCUUGUUUUAAAAUAAUAGCAAAACCUCCACCCAAAGGUAGCCUGUGUCUAUUUAAAUCAACUUAAAAAAAGCCAAGAAAAUGAGGGCUUAUAUCAGAUGAAUUUAAAGAAUAUUGGUUUUUGUUUUCCUACCUGUAUUCUAACCUAGAUAUGUGUAAGCGAAGAGGUUAAAAAAAAAGUACCAAAAAAUACUGAAAGAAAAAAAUGUCUUUAAACUAAAAGUAGAUUGCAUGGCUCAGUUACCAAAUCCCACUUGCUCUUGAAGGGAGCAUCUUCCUGCCUUUACCCAUAGCCAUUUCUUUCCUGCUCAGGUAUGCUGCCGUGUCUCCCUGAGGUAUGUUGGGGUGCACCAGUACAUGUUCCUGUAGAGAGUGAAAAGUUUCCAGAGUAGCUUUCGAUGGCCCUGCAAGUAAGAAAGAGCUAGUUGUAAAAGGAAGGAAUAAUACACUUUAUUUAUAAAAUUAAAAACUUACGGUAAUCAAAAUAUACCUUUAAAAAAAUGAAGAGAUAAAGAUGUUACCAGGUGGAAACCCCAGGUUCUUACUCGGUAUGACUCAUUAAAAAAAAAAAAAAUAUUGGCCAAUAAAUGAGAGACCCAGGUGAGAGAAUAAAAAAGGCACCUUUAUUUCUCUGUACAAGGAAAUGGAGUCAUUCGCUGCUUACUGCUGCCAAGACUGCUUAUGAAGGGUGGGCAGGCACGUUACUUUUAAAGGGAUUUAUAAGUAGAGAGUUCAUACAAGUUAGGUCAGCAACAUUCUUGAUCAUACUACGCAGGCACCGUGGGGUUUACAUAUAACCUCAGAGCAAAAGCAGGAUUCAGAUGCAAAGCUGGUGGGGGUGAGGGAUAGCUCAGCAAAGGAAAUGAUUUUGCAAUAUAACACUGUAGGGGAGGAAGCCAAGUAAAGAAUACAGCACUGUGGGGGUUCUGUCUCAAAGAUACAUAUAACUGACAAAGGAUUAGUUUACAGAAUAUAUAUUUUAAAAAACAAAAACAAAAGUUCCUGUAAGUCAAUAAGAAAAAGACAAAAAAUUAAUAGAAAAAUGGGAAAAAAUAAUGGAACCAAAAGAUGUUUCUAUGAAAAAAAUCAAUAAAAUUGGUAAACUUCUACCCAGACUGAUCAGGGGGAAAGAAAGAGAAGAUAUAAAUUACCAAUAUCAGGAAUGGUCUAGGUGUCAUUACUACAGAUUCUGCUGAUAUUAAAAAACAUAAGAAUAUCUUGAACUUUAUGCCAAUAAGUUCUACAACUUAGGUGAAAUGGACAAAUUCCUCGAAAGACAAAAACUACCAAAGCUCACUCAAGAAGAAAUGGAUAACCUGAAUAGGUCUGUGUACUAAACAAAUUGAAACUGGGGUUUAGAACAUUUUUUACAGAGAAAACUCUAGGCCAAGAUGGUUUCACUAGUGAAUUCUACUAGCUGUUUAAAGGAAGAAAUACUACCAGUUUGUCGAUUGAAUUGUGUCCCCCAAAAAUGUGUGUAUCAAUUUGGCUGCACCAUGAUUCCCUGUAUUGUAUGAUUGUCUGCCAUUUUGUCAUUGUGAUUUUUCUUUGUAACUUCUGCCUCUAUGAUGUUAAUAAGGGGGGAUGGGUGGCAGUUGUAUUGAUGAGGCAGGACUCAAUCUAUGGGAUUGGAUUGUGUCUGGAGCCGGUUUCUUCUAGGGUAUAAUAGAAGCGUUCAGAGAGGCAGGGGACCUCAUACCACCAAGAAAGCAGUGCCAGGAGCAGAGCAUAUUCUUUGGACCUGGGCUUCCUGCGCGGAGAAGCUCCCAGUUCAAAGGAAGAUUGAAGAGAAGGACCUUCCUCCAGAGCCAACAGAGAGAGAAAGGCUUCCCCUUGAAGCCGACACCCUGAAUUAGCUUACUUCACCCUGAGGAAAUAAAUUUCUCUUUGUUAAAGCCAUCCACUUGUAGUAUUUCUGUUAUAGCAGCACUAGAUAACUAAGACCCAGUUCUACACAAACUCUUCCAAAAAAAAUUGAAAGGGUAUAAUUUCCACUUCCUUCUAUGAAGUCAUUACAAGAAAAGAAAAAAGCCACUCAUAAGCCUAGGUAUAAAAAAUUUGAACAAAAUUGUAGUGAAUAGAACCUAGCAGUUAAAACGAUGAUACAUCAUGACCAAGUUGGGUUUAUCUGAGGAAUGCAGGGUUGGUUUAACUGUCAUAAAUCACUGUUAGUAGACAAGAACUAUUAUAGGUGAACAGAAAGACAACACACAAUACAGGAGAGGUCAGCACAACUGGACUAAACUAAAAACAAAGAAGUUUCCUGAAUACAACUAAAUGCUUCGAAAGCCAGAGUAGCACCAGAGUAGCAGGGACGUGGGUUUGAGACCAUGGUUUCAGGGGACAUCUAGGUCAAUUGGCAUAACAAUAUGUAUUAAGAAAACAUUCUGCAUCCCCUUUUGGUGAGUGGCAUCUUGGGUCUUAAACACUAGCAAGCAGCCAUCUAAGAUGCAUCAAUUGGCCUCAGCCCACCUGGAGCAAAGGAGAAUGAAGAACACCAAAGGCAUAAGAUAAAGAUGAGCCCAAGGAACAGAAAGAGCCACAUAAACCAGAGACUACAUCAGCCUGGGACGAGAAGAACUAGAUAGUGCACGGCUACCACAGAUGACUACCCUAACAGGGAACAUAGCAGAAAAUCCCUGAUGCAGGAGAAUAGCGGGAUACAGAUCUCAAAUUCUCCUAAAAAGACCAGACUUAAUGAUCUGACUGCGACUAGAGGAACCCCAGAGGUCAUGGUUCCUGCACUCUUUGUUGGCCCAAGACUGGAACCAUUCCCGAAGCCAACUCUCCAGACAGGGAUUGGACUGGACUAUAAGACAGAAAAUGUUGCUGGUAAGGAGUGAGCUUCUUGGCUCAAGUACACACAUGAGACUAUGUGGGCAGCUCCUGUCUACAGGCAAGAUGAGAAGGAAGCUGGGGACAGGAGCUGGUUGAAUGGACACGGGCAAUACAGGGUGGAGAGGAGGAAUGUGCUGUCUCAUUAGGGGGAGAGCAGCUAAGAGUACAUAGCAAGGUGUGUGUAUAACUUUUUGUAUGAGAGACUGACGAUUUGUAAAUUUUCAUUUAAAGCACAAUAAAAAACUCAAUGUAAGUCACUGUGUUAACAGACUAAAAAAAAAAAAAUCAUCUGACCAUCUCA
Molecule: long non-coding RNA, 10980 nt
Organism: Loxodonta africana (African savanna elephant)
Lineage: Eukaryota; Metazoa; Chordata; Mammalia; Proboscidea; Elephantidae
Exons: 2
Source: RefSeq, a predicted model, not a curated record